This 448-nucleotide ribosomal RNA is filed under the name uncultured prokaryote. RNAcentral describes it as "partial 16S ribosomal RNA". It matches the Rfam family "Bacterial small subunit ribosomal RNA", at positions 355 to 796 of the family's 1533-position model. The record is from RNAcentral.
UCGGGAAUCUUGCACAAUGGGCGAAGGCCUGAUGCAGCAACGCCGUGUGAGCGAGGAAGGCCUUAGGGUCGUAAAGCGCUGUUGUUGGGGACGAAGGGCGAAGGGUUAAUAGCCCCUAGCCUGACGGUACCCUUCGAGGAAGCCCCGGCUAACUACGUGCCAGCAGCCGCGGUAAUACGUAGGGGUCAAGCGUUAUCCGGAAUUACUGGGCGUAAAGCGCACGCAGGCGGCGUGCCAAGUCCGAUGUGAAAGCUCCCGGCUUAACUGGGAGAGGUCGGUGGAUACUGGCAGGCUUGAGGCAGUGAGAGGGAUGCAGAAUUCCUGGUGUAGUGGUGGAAUGCGUAGAUAUCAGGAGGAAUACCAGUGGCGAAAGCGGCAUCCUGGCACUGUACUGACGCUCAUGUGCGAAAGCGUGGGGAGCGAACGGGAUUAGAUACCCCCGUAGUCC